CACAGGGGUACCUGAGUCCAGAACUGAGGGAAUGGGCUGUAGCAAGUGUGCCCAGUUUGGUUUACAUGGAUUUUUGUAAUUAUGGUCCCAGUGGGCACAGAGGAGCUGUUUGCAUCCAUGAGACCCUUAAGAGGCUUCGAGAGGUGCAUUUUGUGAAAGAAGGAUAGAUGUGAGGCCCCAUCUGGUGGAAAAAGAGUUUUGUGUGAAGAUGGGGCAAAGUUGGGCAAAGAACAAGUGAAGUAGAAGUAUGCCUGUGUGGGACAUGAAGUACUUAUUUCCCAAAAUGGAAGUGGAUUUGAUGUCAACUUUGCAAGUUAAGAAUCUAUUUCCAUCUCUGUGGUCGGAAAGUAUCAGCGUCACCGGAGAAGACUUCAGUGUGCGUCGUUCGGAGCAAUUGGGCUUUGAUAAUGUAUUAUUUGGGUCAAGAUGUGAAGUGUUGUCUGUUUGAUGGCUAGAAUGUAGUAGAGCAGUGGGGCUGAUGUCACUGUGUUUUGGUAGAUACCUGAGCAAUUAUAUCAUGAAAUGGCAUCAGUGUCAUUUCUGUUAUUUGAAUUGGAGAGGUUGGGUUCAUUUGUGUGGUCAGUUAUAGGGUGAUGUUCCUUUAAGUACUUGCACAACAUGUAAUUGUUUUCUGAAAGGAGUGGUUUGUUUGCCACUUGGAAUGUUCUAGCCAUCAAAGUUGCAAGAGGACACAGUUGAGGGUUGUAUCAUCUAUUGGGGCAUCCUGAAGUGUUUGUGAAUUGUGUUCAUAAUGUUGUGUGUGCUGUAUUUGUAAAGUUGUAAUGUAUAGUUUUGGUUGUGAUUGGAUGACUCCCUUUGUCAUCCACGUUGUAGCGUGCUAACUCACUGCAGUGAUUUUCGAAACCAUGGUACAGUGCAGUCAAACGGCCGGAAGGCUGACGUUAUAACAAAUUUGUCAGCCUUUUGGCUGUUUCGCUGUACUGUACCAUGGUU
Mauremys mutica (yellowpond turtle) is the source of this 954-nucleotide long non-coding RNA. RefSeq lists it as uncharacterized. The record is from RefSeq and is a predicted model, not a curated record. The transcript has 4 exons. NCBI's taxonomy places the organism in Eukaryota, Metazoa, Chordata, Testudines, Geoemydidae.